AUGAUUAAGGGAACCUUGCAUGACUCCAUUUUCUCUGUAGAAGCAUGCUCUCUGAACUCACCCUCAUACUCAGGAAGUGAAUUGAUUUGUCACUGUUAUUUUGUUUGUACUGCCACGAGAAAUUUACCUGACCUUCCAUGGAGGCUCUACAACCACACGAUGGUGAACGACAAGCAGCAUCAGCGAAACAAACAGUUAACAAGAUUGUGCGGCGGCGACGGAGGACCUUACCCAGUGCUGCAGCUGAAUGGAGGUGCAGCGCCCCCCGCGUUAUGGACCCAAGGCCCGGCGUGGGGGUUUGGCUAG
Molecule: ribosomal RNA, 306 nt
Filed under: Triticum aestivum (bread wheat)
Lineage: Eukaryota; Viridiplantae; Streptophyta; Magnoliopsida; Poales; Poaceae
Description: partial small subunit ribosomal RNA
Source: RNAcentral